GAGUUUGAUCCUGGCUCAGAUUGAACGCUGGCGGCAGGCCUAACACAUGCAAGUCGAACGGUAACAGGAAGAAGCUUGCUUCUUUGCUGACGAGUGGCGGACGGGUGAGUAAUGUCUGGGAAACUGCCUGAUGGAGGGGGAUAACUACUGGAAACGGUAGCUAAUACCGCAUAACGUCGCAAGACCAAAGAGGGGGACCUUCGGGCCUCUUGCCAUCGGAUGUGCCCAGAUGGGAUUAGCUAGUAGGUGGGGUAACGGCUCACCUAGGCGACGAUCCCUAGCUGGUCUGAGAGGAUGACCAGCCACACUGGAACUGAGACACGGUCCAGACUCCUACGGGAGGCAGCAGUGGGGAAUAUUGCACAAUGGGCGCAAGCCUGAUGCAGCCAUGCCGCGUGUAUGAAGAAGGCCUUCGGGUUGUAAAGUACUUUCAGCGGGGAGGAAGGGAGUAAAGUUAAUACCUUUGCUCAUUGACGUUAC
RNAcentral lists this ribosomal RNA (480 nucleotides) under uncultured bacterium. RNAcentral's name for it is "bacterial SSU rRNA". It matches the Rfam family "Bacterial small subunit ribosomal RNA", at positions 9 to 478 of the family's 1533-position model. The record is from RNAcentral.